UGCCAGCCGCCGCGGUAACACGUAGGGAGCAAGCGUUGUCCGGAUUUAUUGGGCGUAAAGAGCUCGUAGGCAGUUCAGUAAGUCAGGUGUGAAAGCUCGGGGCUCAACCCCGGAAGUGCACUUGAAACAGCAAGACUUGAAUACGGUAGAGGAGAGAGGAAUUCCUGGUGUAGAGGUGAAAUUCGUAGAUAUCAGGAGGAACACCGAUGGCGAAGGCAUCUCUCUGGGUCGAUAUUGACGCUGAGGCGCGAAGGCGUGGGUAGCGAACGGGAUUAGAUA
Molecule: ribosomal RNA, 279 nt
Filed under: uncultured bacterium
Lineage: Bacteria
Description: partial 16S ribosomal RNA
Rfam family: Bacterial small subunit ribosomal RNA
Source: RNAcentral